CGGGUGAGGAACGCGUAGGUAAUCUACCGUUUGCGGGGGACAACACUCCGAAAGGAAUGCUAAUACCGCGUAAGACCACACUCACUAAGGUGAGAGUGGUAAAAGGUGCCUCAAAGCACCACCAGACGAUGAGCCUGCGUCCCAUCAGCUUGUUGGUAAGGUAACGGCUUACCAAGGCGAAGACGGGUAGCUGGUCUGAGAGGAUGAUCAGCCACACUGGUACUGGAACACGGACCAG
RNAcentral lists this ribosomal RNA (238 nucleotides) under uncultured bacterium. Its description in RNAcentral is "partial 16S ribosomal RNA". It matches the Rfam family "Bacterial small subunit ribosomal RNA", at positions 103 to 334 of the family's 1533-position model. The record is from RNAcentral.